UACGUAGGGUGCAAGCGUUAAUCGGAAUGACUGGGCGUAAAGCGUGCGCAGGCGGUUUGUUAAGACAGAUGUGAAAUCCCCGGGCUCAACCUGGGAACUGCAUUUGUGACUGGCAAGCUAGAGUCUGGCAGAGGGGGGUGGAAUUCCGCGUGUAGCAGUGAAAUGCGUAGAUAUGCGGAGGAACACCGAUGGCGAAGGCAGCCCCCUGGGCCAACACUGACGCUCAUGCACGAAAGCGUGGGGAGCAAACAG
This 252-nucleotide ribosomal RNA is filed under the name uncultured bacterium. RNAcentral's name for it is "partial 16S ribosomal RNA". It matches the Rfam family "Bacterial small subunit ribosomal RNA", at positions 524 to 775 of the family's 1533-position model. The record is from RNAcentral.